GGAAAAAAAGUUUAGGGAAAGAAUGACAUUGAACAGGAUGGUGUGUGUGUGUGUGUGUUCUCACCAUUCAGGUCCUUUUUUAAAAGGAAAAAGAGAGAAGUUCUGAUGCUAGUGUGCAAGAGGCAGCAAUCCACCCCAAUCAGAUCAAUAUGUAAAGGUAAAGUAAUCCCUAAAUUUGGAAAGGUUGGCAAUAAGUGUUGGAUAAGACUAGUGACCCAUAUAGUCCAGCCUCUUGUUUUCACAGUGGCAUACUAGAGGUGUAUGGGAAGCCAGCAAGCAUAAUGAAUGCAACAGCCUUCUCCCCUCCUGUGGUUCCCAGCAACUGAUAUUCAGAAGCGUUCAACAGUGGAGACAGAACACAGAGAUCAAAGUAAGUAGCCAAAGACAGCCUUGUCCUCCAUGAAUUAAGGUAAAGGUAAAGGUACCCCUGCCCGUACGGGCCAGUCGUGUCCGACUCUAGGGUUGUGCGCCCAUCUCACUUAAGUCAAAUCCUAUUUUAAAAUCAUCCAAGUUUAUGGCCCUCACUGUAUCUUUUGGGAGCAAGUGGCAUAAUUUAACUCACUGGUUCUCAAAGGGUGUGGCAGGAGAUUUUGACAACAGUGGUGAGAAGAUUCAAGGGCAAUCGAAUAUUCAAACAUUACAGUAUAGUAUAGUAUAGUAUCAAAAAAAAAUUGGGGGUGGGUGGUGGCUAUACAACCAGAAAAAGUAGCCGCAACUCUCUUCAAGUGCAUUGGCUUUUCUUCAACAGUAUUCCAUGACAUAUUGCUGUGAACAGACAUUUUCAAUUCUGACAAAUAUGAAAGACCAGAAAAGAGAAAGGAUUCUUUGUGUUGAUGAGGAGAUAAGAGUUUGUUUGUCUAAAACUGGACCUCUCGUUGAGUUUGUAGACAUACUUAAGGUACAUGUGUAAUAGGCUCGUUUAUAUUUUGGAAAUAAUUUGUGGUCUUAUGUAGCUUCAUUGUUUUAUACUUUCUAGAUGUUCUGUGUUUCACAACCGUGAAGAUUCAGGACAUCAGAAAAUUAGCACCCUGCUCUUAAAAAGUAAAGAACAACAACUUGCAAGUGCAUCCCAUUUAAUUCAUUGCUUUGAAAAUAAUCCCUUUAGUUCUUCCCCACUGUGGCUUCCCCUAGCUUCUAAUAAAAUCAGCAAGAGUCCCCACCAAAUUGAUUCUGUGCAAUAAUCUAAUCUGCAUUUCUCAUCGC
This is a non-coding RNA of Podarcis lilfordi (Lilford's wall lizard), 1203 nucleotides long. The record is from the annotation of a GenBank genome assembly. NCBI's taxonomy places the organism in Eukaryota, Metazoa, Chordata, Lepidosauria, Squamata, Lacertidae.